RNAcentral lists this ribosomal RNA (459 nucleotides) under Urocaridella antonbruunii. RNAcentral's name for it is "partial large subunit ribosomal RNA". It matches the Rfam family "Bacterial large subunit ribosomal RNA", at positions 1927 to 2598 of the family's 2925-position model. Lineage: Eukaryota; Metazoa; Arthropoda; Malacostraca; Decapoda; Palaemonidae. The record is from RNAcentral.
AGGGCCGCAGUAAUUUGACUGUGCGAAGGUAGCAUAAUCAUUAGUCUUUUAAUUGGAGGCUUGUAUGAAUGGUUGGAUGAGGGAUGAACUGUCUUGUGUGUAUUGUUUGAAUUUAACUUUUAAGUGAAAAGGCUUAGAUUAUUUAGGGGGACGAUAAGACCCUAUAAAACUUAAUAUUGAUGUUUAUAAAUUAUGGAUAAAGUUUAAAAUGAUUUUUGGGUUUUAAUAUUUCAUUGGGGCGAUGAAGAUAUAAUAAUUAACUGUUUUGUAAAUUAAAUAAUAAUUAUUAGAUAAUGAUCCUAUAUUAUGGAUUAUAAGAUCAAGUUACUUUAGGGAUAACAGCGUAAUUUUCUUUGAGAGUUCUUAUCGACAAGAGUAGUUGCGACCUCGAUGUUGAAUUAAAAUUUCAGCUGGGUGAAGCAGCUCAGCUAGUAGGUCUGUUCGACCUUUAAAAUUUUA